GACGAACGCUGACAGCAUGCUUAACACAUGCAAGUCGACUGUGGUGGACGGGGGAGUAACGCGUAAAGAACUUGCCUCAAGGAUAGGGAUAACAUGCGGUAACGAAUGCUAAUACCUGAGACUGUGGGAGAGCUUUGCGUCCCAUUAGCUAGUUGGAGAGGUAACGGCUCACGAAGGCGAGGAUGGGUGGCCGGCCUGAGAGGGUGAUCGGCCACAAGGGGACGUGGUCCCGGCCCUUACUCCAACGGGAGGCAGCGGUGGGGAUUCUUGAGCAAUGGACCAAAGUCUGAUCCAGCAAUUCUGUGUGCACGGUGGAGUUUUCGUAAUGUAAAGUGCUUUCAGUUGUGAAGCGGUACCAGCAGAAGAAGCGACGGCUAACUACGUGCCAGCAGCCGCGGUAAUAC
Molecule: ribosomal RNA, 404 nt
Filed under: uncultured bacterium
Lineage: Bacteria
Description: partial 16S ribosomal RNA
Rfam family: Bacterial small subunit ribosomal RNA
Source: RNAcentral